AUACAUGACCUUUUAUACCACCGUUUUACAGACAUCUGCUUUCUUUCUGUUGGCUGAGCAGAAGUCUAUGUUAGUUUAAAUAGGCUUAAUUAUUUAACAGAACAUGAUAUGGAUGCAGACAUUUAGGCUAUGUGUGGAUAAAACAACUGCACAGUUAAACAGCCACUUAAUAUUUAGGCUACUUCACAAUGUAAAACAUGAUCAACAUGAAGUACCUCCAUGAGAUAAUGCCGAGCUCUGACCUGUUUGAACAAUGUUUUUAUAUUUCAUCUUAAGCUGCUGCCACGUGCGCUUCUCCCCCUCCGGAUUUCACCUAAAUGAAAUAACAUAAUAUUGUACCAUUCAGACAGUUUUUCCCUGUAAUAUUACUACGAUUACAAAGGACUACAUUUAAACUUAUGCAUUGACCCGGGCAGCAGUGUUCUCCACGCCGUCUCUCUCUCUUUUGCAGCUGCAGCGGUGUUGCACUUCUUUCUUAAAACGUGUUCAAACUCGCCAUAUGAGCACAUUAAAAACUUCCAGUUCAAAAAUGCAGCCUUUCGCUUCCCCGUUGCCAUGGUGACUUGUCGAAUCGGGGCUCCAUUGAUGCUGUCUUUUCAGAGUUGCGGUGCACGCGCUUAACUCCAAGUGCAACUCCUCCGAGUUAAUUAAACCAACUCAAAUCAGCCGCUGUGAAACCGAAAACUCAAGAGUUUUAUCUCAGAGUAGAUCAACUCAGAGUUGAGGAUGAAACUCAGAGUUUCUUGAACCUCCUUUGUGAAACAGGCCCCUGAUGUGGUCCUGUCACAUCAACAUCCUAGUGAAGAAUGGUCGACAGCGUCUCUACCACCUCAGAUGCCUGAGACAAUUUAGGCUCCCUCUCAAAGUGCUGAGGAACUUCUACACCUUCACCACUGAGUGUUUUAGCUGGUAGCAUCACCACCUGGAUGGACAGCAGCACCCAACAGGACUUCUUGGCUCUGAGGAGGGUGGUCUGCUUGGCUGAGCGCACCAUCAGAACCAUCCUCCCCAACCUGCAGAACAUUUACAACAAACGAUGCAGGCUAAAGGUCAGGAAGAUUGCAAAUGAACUCACCCACCCAAUUUAUUUACUGUGUUUUUAUUCUUUAUUCAUAUUGUUUCAGUUUGGAAUAGGUACACAACACAUUUCACUGUGCAUUAUACCAUGCAUAAUUGUGUUUGUGAUAAAGUUCUUGAAUCUUGAGAUGCAAAAAUAAAAAGAGAGGCAUAAAUGUAUUAUCAAAAUGACCACAACAAGGUGGAAAGAUAAGCAAAGUGGCUACAAACAGACAUUUAAUGACCAAAGGGACUACAAUGACCACAAGCUGACAAAAAUGAGUACUGAGAGAUAAAAAAAAUGUAAUGAGAUGUAGGAAUCUUUUUUUAAAGGACCACAAAGUGCAUCAAACAACAGCAAAGACCAUAAAUACAUGCAAAGUUAUCACAAUGAGAUGUUAACCACAAUAAGGAGUAAAAACUCUUACUAAAACACAUAAAAUUGCUACAAAGAGAUACAAAACUGCUACAACGAGGCCUUAAACAUCGCACAGAAGCAACAAGAUGCUCUUAAAAACUAUUUCAUUUGGAUGUGGAAACCAGUGAUGGACAACAAUGUGCCGCAGAUUUUGUAGUCUCAGAGCUGAGAAGGAAAACCAGCUCUGAGGGCUGCAGGGGAACCAGCAGGAGGAAGAUCUGGGAUCAGAUGGUGGAGUUGGCAGAGCUUCAGACAGUCAACGCUGUGUCAUCCUAACCACAGAGACUUGCUACUUAAUGACAGGGAGCACCAACACACACACACACACACAACACACACUGAUAUUCAGAGUCCAAAAAAUGACGCUCUAUGUGAUUAUCCCCCCCAAACUGGAGAGAAUGGAACUAAUAACAGCUAUCAGAAAGAGAAGAGGAAAGAAGGAGCAGAGAAGCGGAAGCAAAGUCCAACAUUGAGAUUCUGUGCAUCUCAGUAUCUAAAGAUACUUUAUGAACUCAGUAUUUCUUCAAUUGACAUUCCUAUCUGUUAUGUGCGCAUCAAGAAUAUAAAAAAUCUAAAAUAAAAAAGAGCAGUGACAAUCUCUUAAAAGGCCUGUAACCUUCAAAAAAUUGUAAAAAUGAUCAUAGCAGUAGAGUAGAACUUUACCUGGCAAAAAAAACAGUUUGACCUUUUUACAAUUUUUUUUGUGAUUUUUGUUUUUUGUUUUUUUAAUCUGUAACAAUUUUUUAAAAAAAUCAAACAUUUUCAGUCCUUUAUGGACAGAAUUUUUCUAUCAAAUAAACAGUAAAUACACAGAAAAUAACAUUUUUUGGGCCAAUUUAAAUAUAGUACAUCAGCAAAAUAUACAUUCAGCCAAGAAUUAAUUAUCCAUCCAUCCAUUCUCUGUACACCGCUUUAUCCUCACUAGGAUCGCAGGGGUGGGGGUGCUGGAGCCUAUCCCAGCUGACUCAGGUGAAGGCAGGGGACACCCUGGACAGGUCACCAGUCUGUCACAGGGCUACAUAUACAGACAAACAAUCACACUCACAUUCACACCUACAGGUCUAUCUUCUAUCAAAUAAACAGUAAAUACACAGAAAAUAAUUUUUUGGGCCAAUUUAAAUAUAGUAAAUCAGCAAAAUUUACAUUCAGCCCAGAAUUAAUUAUCAUUCCUUAAAAGAAUACAGAUUGUUUUUAUAGAUAUUUUUAAACUGUGCUUUAAAUAUUAGGCUUAAAACGUACCUAUUUGGUAAACUUUACUGUUACUCAGGUAACUCUAAGCCAUCUCUUGGUUAUGCAGCUUUUGGCUUAGACUGCAUGCCAUUAACUUUGUGUCAUCCUUCUCCUGUAGAUUGUAUUUUGUCCUCUCUGAAGCUACAUGUUUCUGACCUGUACUUUUGAUUAAUCAUACUUAGGGAUGCAAAUUAUCGAGUAAUUCAUUAAUCGAUAGUUGCUUCAUCUUAUCAAUCGAUGAUUGAUUAAUUGAUAAGUGGCAAUUUUUCUGAGAAGCUGAAUUUCCCUCUGAAUCAAUAGCAUUUUUGUAGAAAAGAACCUAUCUUUCUUAUGAAAGAGAAAAUGCAAAUCAUAUUCCUUAAUAAAAGAUUUAUUCUUAACAGCAGGGAAAAACACAUUCACAAAUGGAACAGUCCGUUGUGACGGCUACAUUCGCGGUUGCAAGUUGUGUUUUUAACUCUGCCUUCUUCCUCGCGUAGCUUGCUUCCAUGCAGGUGGUUAUUGUGGUUCUAGAGGGAAUAUCAUAUCCUGGCUCGAUGUACUUUAUUACCUCUCUAAACCUCUGUCCUUCAACAGCAUUUAUUGGCAGCAUGUCUGUCGUAACCAUGUCACAUAUCCGCUGGGUAAUGCCCUCUGCCUUCCUGGAGUCACAUACUCUUUGUCCCAACCAAUGACGUACAUAUAGAGCUAGACCACUCACUGGCCGCUGAGAGGCGAUAAAUAGGAGCUGACUUCCGGUAGUGGCAAGACGGGGAUUUCUCAUUGGAACGCCAGCACGGUAUGUGACUUUGUGUUUCGUGAUUUACCAAGGUACAGUAAACUUCUGUGUUGGAAUCAAGUCACAAUGCUUGAAAUACGUUGAGAACACCAGGCCAGGAGGCCCUAGACCAGCACUGGCAGGGUUUUUCAGUGACUGCAGCUGAGCAGACUCUCCUCAGGAGAGUUCCCCAGUUCGCGGUCAUGCUCAUGGCUCGCCAUUCCCCCUGUGCCUGUGGUCUCACUCUGACCUGGUGACGGAUGACAAGGCUAUUUUUGUCAUCAGAAAUUAUGUGUUAAUGAACUAGAAAUCUGUUUGAGAAGGUGAGCAGCACGGCAUGAUCAUAUGUGACACUGACAGUGCAUACGUCACUGCAUAGCACUUAGCAGUUAGCACUUCUGCUAGCUCCUUCAAUGCUACCAGUUUUGUGAUUCCUUCUCUGGAAUGUAAGUGAAAGGAAACGUGCUGACACUCACCUUGCAAUCAUCACAUCAUGAACCUGUUAAUUUAAGUGUCUCUGUUGUUAUGGUUUCAGGUGGACGUGGCUAAUAUCUGACCAUGGUGAAGUCGUGUGCUGCCAUCUCCUGCACCAGUCGAUUUGCAAUAUUUCCUUUCAUAAGUUUCCCAAGCAGUCCAAGGACAGCACACUGAGAGAUCAAUGGAUACAGGCCAUCAGUAGAGAAGUGGUGGGGACCAAGAGGAGAUGAUCAUAAUUAUGUAUGCAGCAACCAUUUCAGGGAGGAGGACUUCAUCCUCUCAAAACAUGCUCAACACAAGCUUCUCAGGCCAGGAGCUGUACCAUCCCUCAAUCUGGGGAAACCAGAGAAAAAGAUUGCAGUGAGGACAACCCAAAGCAGCCCGGCAGCAGUGGCAUUAUACCAGCACAUCGACAUGGAGCCUGAACAAGAGCCUGAAGAGGGCAGUGCUGCUGUUACAGAAGACCAUGCAUACUGUACAGACAUCGACACCCUGAAGAGGAAAUAUGACGAUCUAAGUGUACAGCAUGAAAAGCUAAGGCAGGACUUCAACAAUGCCAAACGUAGAGGGAAGCGCUGCAGAGUGACGUUGGAGGCCAUGUUAGCUAAAACCAAGGAAAUACAAGCCCUGUCUGAUGAUGCUCAUUCCAUGCUUGAUGCAUAUAAAGGUAUUCCUUGUUUAGAAGUACAUAUGAGUGACAUGCAGCAUAUGUAAAUAUAAUUAUGUAACUGCACAUUGCUCACCCACACAGUGCACUAGAACUGAGAUCAAUGUUUGUUAAUGCUUCAUGAGAUGAUGACUGGUUCACAGAUAACUGUACUUUUGCCUUCCACAACAUUAUCUAAACAGUUUUGCGGCUGUGAUACCCAACAUUUAUAUGGAAACUAUCUAAGCUAUUAACUAUGUUUGAUCACACUUAAUUUUCAGAAUAAUGUCAUUUGUUUGUAACUCCCCAACACCUGAAAUUGGGACAUAUAUACAACACGCAUUUAGGUUGAAUAUUUAUGAAAAUUGCAAAUUAAACUCAAAGGGGCUGACUGAACUUUGAUGGUUCAUCAUGAAGCAUGAUGUGCUGUAUAAAUGCCGUCUACAUACUGCAAUCUGCCUGAAAGUUGAUGUGAUUGAUCACAGUCCUGCAGUGAUGACCUCCAUAUGCCAGUGUGCACUCAGUCAUAGCAUCACCUGUUGUAGAGGAAAUUACAAGUUUUACACUUUAAUGUUGUACUAUACUUUUAAUAAAUUUAUCUGCACUUUUUUUCAUUUACUUUAAAUUAACUUCUUUUCUAUUGGUUGUUGCAAUUAGUGUUUGACAUGCUUUUAUUUUUUCUAUUUCUUGUCUUCUUUUGGCUGUUUUACUCAAUCAGUUUUAAUUAUUCUAGAAAUGAGUGUCCAUUGUAUUCAAUGAACCUUUUCUGAUUAAAGUGACUUCAUUUUUUAUUACA
Long non-coding RNA from Acanthochromis polyacanthus (spiny chromis), 5380 nucleotides. RefSeq lists it as uncharacterized. The transcript is spliced from 3 exons. NCBI's taxonomy places the organism in Eukaryota, Metazoa, Chordata, Actinopteri, Pomacentridae. The record is from RefSeq and is a predicted model, not a curated record.